Molecule: non-coding RNA, 93 nt
Organism: Mycena rebaudengoi
Lineage: Eukaryota; Fungi; Basidiomycota; Agaricomycetes; Agaricales; Mycenaceae
Source: the annotation of a GenBank genome assembly
GCGCUGGUAGUGUAGGGUACACGCAUCCCCAUAUUCGACCCGUACUCUCAACUCCAUGGAUGAACAACCGGGGUUCGACUCCCCGCCAGCGCA